This 253-nucleotide ribosomal RNA is filed under the name uncultured bacterium. RNAcentral describes it as "partial 16S ribosomal RNA". It matches the Rfam family "Bacterial small subunit ribosomal RNA", at positions 524 to 776 of the family's 1533-position model. The record is from RNAcentral.
UACGUAGGGGGCGAGCGUUGUCCGGAUUUAUUGGGCGUAAAGCGCGCGCAGGCGGCCAACAGAGCCCGGCGUGAAAGCCCCCGGCUCAACCGGGGGAGGCCGUCGGAGACCUGUAGGCUGGAGGCCGGUAGGGGAGAGCGGAAUUCCCGGUGUAGUGGUGGAAUGCGUAGAUAUCGGGAGGAACACCAGUGGCGAAGGCGGCUCUCUGGACCGGUCCUGACGCUCAGGCGCGAAAGCGUGGGGAGCGAUCCGG